This is a long non-coding RNA of Gasterosteus aculeatus aculeatus (three-spined stickleback), 6837 nucleotides long. The record is from Ensembl. Lineage: Eukaryota; Metazoa; Chordata; Actinopteri; Perciformes; Gasterosteidae.
CCGAUGUUGUUGAGGGCGCUGCCGGUGGACGGAGACACCUGCAGGAGGCGGGGGUCGAUGAACGGCGUGAAGGAGGAGGAGGACUUGUGCUUCUGCAUGUUGUUACUAGACUGGCUCUACGGAGAGAAGGAACCACGGUCAGCUCCUCCAAAGCUCAACGUCCAACGAGAACAACGAGGAGCCUCAGAGGAGCCGCAUGCGCAUCCAACACAGAGGGGAAAAGGUGGAGGGGAAUCCAUGAACACAGAGGGGAAAAGGUGGAGGGGAAUCCAUGAACACAGAGGGGAAAAGGUGGAGGGGAAUCCAUGAACACAGAGGGGAAAAGGUGGAGGGGAAACCAUGACGACGGAAGCAAAAACGUGUCGACAAAAAGAACAAAAGGUGAUUUUCCGGAGACGUACUUGCCGUCGGGCUCCUAACCUGUCGGCUACGACUUUCUGUCUGUAGAAUGUGAGAAUACGACUGGGAACGGGCCACAUGAAUGAAAAUGAGAUUUAGAUGUGUGUGUGUGGAGGGGGGGGGGCAGUGAACCAGCGCAAACACGUCUGCUGGGACGAGAUUACAUCGUAACCCAAAAGUUCACCCGAUGAGGCCUGAAUGUAUUUUUAACAGGAUGUCAAAAGAAUAUAAAUAAACAGUUGCUUUGUCUUCAUGUGGAACUUCUGAAUCACCCCUGAGACGCAGCACCCCCCCCCCCCCCCUGUAUUAACAAACACUGGGUAACUACAGCGUCCACAUGUAGCGUGGAUCUGAAAAGAGGCUGCCGGGCCGAUGGCGGCCAGCAGAAGGCGCCGAGUGCCUCCCCAUCACGUCAGAACACCACAGGGCACCACAGAGCGACACCGCAUUCCAGUUACUGGGAGAAACUUUUUAUUUGGUUUUUUAUUGUGUCGUUUAUAGUGUCUCAACCACCAGCGUUCCUUUGGUCUGACCCUCUCAGUCCUGGUCCUGGUCCUCCCGGGCCUCCCUUCCCUCCAGAAGGUCCAGCACUACGUCUCUGGGAUCAGGGUUAUAUAUCGAGACCGGUUCAGGACCAGUUAAAAGUUCCCCACAGUAACUUUAAAUAGGAGUCUGCAGCUGCUGAGGACCUGUGAACUACUACUACGCGGACCACGAGGACCCGGACCCCCCACCAUGUAUGAUGCUCUUAGAAGGAUCCCGUGUCGGGGAUUCGGGCAACGUACCUCGAUGAGGAGGCUGAGCGUUUCCAUGGGGCUCUGGGGGGACAUGGAGGAGGGGCUGGCGAGGCUGGAGGAGGAGGGGGAGUUUGAUGCGGAGGAGGAGGGGGGGGAGGAAUGGUGGCUCUGCUGGAUCAGGUCUGGGAGGUGGUGGAUUCGGCCGGCGAGGCCGUUCCUCUCCGAGUGCUGUGUGGGGUGAUGAUGGUGGUGGUUGUUGUGGUGGUGGUGGUGGUGGUGAUGAUGGUGGGGGCUGGGGGCGCGGUGGCUGAGACCCGGGCCGGCGCUCGGGGCGAAGCCCGCGAGCAGGCCGGGGAGGGGCGGGGCUCGACCCGGGCCGGGGCCCGGACGCUUUCUGCCGUCACCAGCGCUCUGGAAGUACAGAGAGGGGCAGACGGCCGAGGGCCUAACUGAGCGGCGGGACCGGUCCUUGGGAGGGGGGGCUGUCAGCUGUGGCGGCACUCAUUCUGCUACUCUACUUGCGGGACGAAGACGCUCGUUAGCUCAACGCCGUCCUCAAAGGUCAGGUCAUCGUUUAGCUGAAUGCUCAAUCCUAACGGCAUCCGAUGGUGAAUGGAUCUAAAAUGGAACAUGAGGCCUUUUGCUCCUGAAGACCAGCUACUCGUCUUCCUCGUGUCACUGAGCUACAGGGAAGGUCUGUCCUCAGGGACGCCGAGCGGCUCCCAGCGGCCGACAAAUCAACAACACCACACGUGAACACAAACCAAAUGGGAGUAAACACAACAGGGAGUGCUGGAGAUGGUUGCUGUGGUUGUCGCCCCCCCCCGGCGGUACCUGUCUGACGAUCAGCGUGCCGUCUUUGCACGGCGUGGAGCCGGCGUCGCUCUCGCCCUCGUCGUGUACGAUCAUGGUUUUCACCGACUCCGUCUCCCCGUUACUCAGGCGGGACGAGCUGCGGACGGAAGAAGAGCGAGUUCACUGCUGGCCGGUUCCACGGAAUCAUAAUGUCACGCAUGCGCGUGACGACGUCAUAAUGAAUCCGACACGUACGCGGCUCUGGAGUCCUCGGGGCCCGAGGUCGAUUCCUCGCCGGCCUCCUGGUCGACCUCUUCGUCGUCGUCUUCGUCGGUGGUGUCCGAGUCAUCGCUGGAGGAGGAGUAAUCCGUCACCUUGUUGGGGGGGCGGACAUCGUCCACGGCUCGCAGCUCCUUGGCCAGAGCCGUCAGGUCCUGAAGGUCAAAGGUGAGAGGAGAAAAAGAGAGAGCGGCGUCAUUUGAGGUCAUUGGCUGACGCGCGUCUCCCUCCGUUGGAACGCCGGCCGGCCGUUUUUCUUUCUUCUACCCGCGAGCUGUUAGUCAAGACGUUCAGUCGGCAGGAAACGGAAAGCUGCGGGAGAGGAAGUUGUUAAAAGACGCGCUCCAGCCAAUGAGAAGCCAACGUUAGAGCGGCGAGCGCGGGAGGAUCCCCGAAGGUUAGUGAUGGACUUGAGUAAUGAGACAGUGAGGCAGUCAAGGCGGCCGCCAUCGGAGAGAGAAAGCAAGCGGCAAGGUGCAGGAAACCCUUCAGCCAGCGAGCGCCGCAAAGUCCACCGCUGCCAUUCACUCCGUAGAGAAACGCGCCAUCAGGCCACACACACACACACACACACACACACACACACACACACACACACACUCCUAGCUCUAGAUCCAUCCCAGCUAGCGAGCUACGCAACCGGCUAGUCGGGCGUGGACUCAACGCUCACCGCUGGUCUGUUCGGCCGGACCAAGUCCCGCCUCUCCUCGGGUUUUGUGCCGUCGGGCCGUUGGAGGGGCGAGCCCUCGGAUUUGGACGAGGCUGAAGGGAGGUGGAGGUGAAAAGAUCAGUUUACUCUAAAUGGCGGCUGUGCCUCCACCCCCCCCGCAUGUUGUCUGGGUGCGGCCCGGCGGAAGGUGCGCGUGGACUCACGGCGGGCCCUGAAGCGCUCCCCAGAGCCGCAGUGGGAGCCGGGCUGCGAGCUGGAGUUGCUGGAGCUGCUGGAGGAACUGGAGGCUCCGCUGUUACUGGUGGGCCUGGGAACCAGUUUCUCCACUCGCUCCCACAGCAGCCGAGGCUCGGCCGCGCUGCAGAGCCAACAAACAGCGGGUCAACAAGGUCACAGGCACAGGACACCGGACUGCUCACAUUUUACACACUGGGGACUUUUUUAUUUAAUAUAAUAAAUAUAUUAAUCAUUAUAUUAACAGACUCCCUUCAUUGUAUUUCCAGCGUUAGAGUCUUUCAAAUAUGCUAAAAAGGUGGAGUAAGAACAGACUACGAGUUGUUCUGGAGAUUAAGUAAGAUGCAUCUCACGAGUAUCUCGUGAGAAGAUUCACAGUUUGGAAAUAGAAAAGUGUGCAAACACACACAAAGGAAGGUUAGACAGCUAUUACAUAAACCCUCCCCCCCGCACACCACACACACACCCACGGCCGGAGAGACACACGGGGAAGUCACCGAGUGCGCCGGUUGUACAGACACUGUGUUUGUGUGCGUUUGAUCCAUCUCCAAACAAUGUGCCUGUUUGUCGAGUGAAACUCCGUUUUAUCUCUUUUUAACGAGACAGUUUCACAGAGCUUCAGGGUUCUUUCUUCUUCCUGAAGCCUGCAAAGGACUUUACUCGGUACGUUGUGUGCAGUGUGCGUUCACUGAGAUCUCAUUUGUGUUUUGAGUCCUGGACUGAUUCAGCUCAUUACCUGAACUCUUAAAUUCUCCCCUAAAUACAGAAGCAGUGGAGUCCCACAGGGCAGCAUUCUGGGCCCAGUUUAACUCUCCUUCAUUUGCAUUUUACUUGCUAUUUUAUGCAAAUACUUCUUCUCUGCUUUUUUAUGUUUUCACAAACACAAACUCCAGACAGAUGGACAAUAAAUUAUAGAUCUUAUUCUAGAUAAAUUAUUCACAGUUACAAAACUAGUUUUUAUUUUUUUAUAAUAAAGAUGAAUAAUUUACCAAACUGUGCAGAUUUUAUUUUCCAUCAACACAAACGAGAAGGGCGAGUAAUGUCUGUUUACCUGGCGACAGGCCGGUGCACAGCAUGGCUGCCGUGUGUGGCGUUGCCGUGGUGAUGAGGCGAGCCCCGACUCGGCAACACCGGGGACCUUGACGUGGUCCUUACGGGAACCUUUCGUGAUAGAGACAGUGACCAGCUCACACGUGAACACUCUGUCUGUGGAACAUCUCGCAGGGAUGAAGAAAUACGCCUUGUGAUUGUCACGGAGCUCAGUGAGCCGACUGAGGCUGAAAUGACACGCUGCACCUUCAGCUGGUGCCUCCUAAACGCUUCCCUUUCUAGCCCGUCUUCAUGCUGAGUAACGACAUACAUGGGCGUUGGAUGGUGGCCGUUCCUUUGGGCAUAACUCCUGCCGGCUGCAUCUUCAAGAGUUUUACUCGAUAUGGAUGAAAACCUGCAGAUUACGGUUUAUUCAUCUUAAGAAGGAACAUUUUGUGCGUUUGUGAAACGCCCCUCUUUUAUUAAAUAACAUCCCAGAAAGCCCAGCGUGAGGCAUCUUCAACUGAAAGAACAUGAGACCUUCAGGAAGGAGAAGAGCCUCCAACUUCCUGUAUGGAAGGAAGAGACGGAGAGCUCUUUGACCUCUGAAGACCCCCCCCGAAGAAUGUUUCUGUUGGUCCAAUGGGAGGAGUCAAAGCUCAUUAAAGUCAAGUCAUUCUCAUAUUUUAAUAUCUUAACUAAUAUUAUAUUUGUUAUAUAUUAAUAACUGAUAUGUAUUACAACUUGAUCCUUUUGCUUUAAGACGCUGAGGCUGCGUAAUAAUGAGGCAUUAUUUUAAUCCAACAUGAGUCAGACCCCCGAAAACAGACGUCUCUGGUGUGAUUUAAUCUGUGCGACACAUUCGAGACCGAUUGGCUUCAGUGGAGCGGAUCGUUCACAGACGAGUCACCUGGACGCACAUCUGGGUGCCAGUGAAUCAUCUCAGGAUCAACAGCACACGAUGAGCAGACACACACACACACACACACACACACACACACAGUGACACAUUUGAAUAAAGGGCUCCUGUUGGCUGUGACAAGUGGGAGGACCACCUGUCAAUCAAAGGGUUAAUCACAAAAGAAGAUAUCAGGGUCGCCAACAAAAGAUUAUCUGUUAGAGAAUGAAGAAAACACAAAGCUGUCUUUUGAUGGAGGCUUUUAAAGGGAAAUGGGGAAGUGAUGACAGCCCUGGAAGAAGAAGGAAAUCAAACAUCUCACAUACGAUAGAAGCAGAUUAGACUCCUGAGAGAGAGAUGAAGACUAACACAAGGACGCAUCCAGAGCUCCUCCCCUCUCUGUGACCAACGACAUCAUCCGCAAAAACACGAUCUACUCCGGCCGACUCACACUGAGGAAACAGCAGCCCAACGACCAGCGAGAGAAACAGUUCACCACAUGAGCUCCACGUCUCCACCUUCCAGAGCCGAGUCACAGACGGCGAGUGGGAGGAGGUCGUCGCCAUGGUGACGUCACCUGCUGGUUUGUGGACGUUUCGAAGCCUCGGGUUCUUUUCGUUCUUGCAACCAGUGAACAGGAAGUGAGACGUAGAGACGGUGCAUACGUCUCUGUUAGAGAGCUGUCAAUCAGAGCGUAGCCCCGCCCAAAUUGUCUCCAGCUUUAUGGUCCGUUUGACUCUACAUGGACCAUAAUUCACUAAAUGAACAUCACGCUGUACUGAAGAAGACUUGAAACUAGAGACAGAGACCAUGAACUCAUGUUUGUAAUGUUCACUGAGGAAAUAAACCCAGAGAGAAGUGGAGUCAUUUCCUCAUAGACGUCUAUGACUGGUUGUACGUCGUUCUUCCACCUAUUGUGUGACCCUCUGGUUGGGAAAACAAACAAUACGGCGACGGUCAAACUGCCAAAGUCGAGGCUUCAUGACACGAGAAACCAAUGUGUGACGUCACCAUGACAACGCCCACUUCUUACAUAGCCUGCGGCUGAUUGGUCCAAACAACGGCUCGUUUAACCUCCACAUUCAGCACCACUCUUCUCCUGGUGCUCAGGGCGAACUGAUCCAAGAGCAGAGAAACAAAACGUCAUCGGCGAUGACAUCAUAGCGGCCGCUUCUACCGGCCAGAGGAAAGGAAAUCGCUGCAAAGAUGAACAGCAGACAGAAGAGCGAGAUGUGAGCGGUUUGUGGGAUCAAAGCGUGGACAGGAAGUCGCCGUCACGUGACGCGAGUGUUCACCUUGAGACUCUCUAAACAAACAUGAGCUCCGACCGAGUCCGCAGGCAGGAGGACAAAGGCAGCAGGGGGCCUGAGCGGUGGAGGUGAAACAGGUGUGUGCGAGGUGGGGGGGUGGGGGGAGGUUACCUGCGGUUCCACGGGCCGGUGCACGGCGGGCGCCACCUCCGGGGCCGGGUUGCCAUUGGGGUGGGAGGAGGACUCGGAGCGUGGCGGCACUGGCGGCAGCUGCGGUUUGGUGGACGCCGCCUGAGGAGAGCCCUGGAUGUUCUUCCGGUAGCGGUCGUCUGCCUACGAGGGGGGAGGGGGGGGGCAGACGGGCGCCGUUACAGUGGUUCAAAGUUCAACGUGAAGCCAAUCAGGGGAGCCGAGGGUGUGUUAGUUUCAUCCAGCUGCAGAGCGGAGGACGUUCAUCAACAAAGCACAAAAAAUGCAGAGGUCACGUGACGCGUUAGGACGCACGCCGGGUCACCUGAGCCUCACUGAGCCUCACCUGAGCCUCAC